UGGGGAAUAUUGCACAAUGGGCGAAAGCCUGAUGCAGCGACGCCGCGUAAGGGAUGACGGCCUUCGGGUUGUAAACCUCUUUCAGUAGGGAAGAAGCGAAAGUGACGGUACCAGCAGAAGAAGCGCCGGCUAACUACGUGCCAGCAGCCGCGGUAAUACGUAGGGCGCAAGCGUUAUCCGGAAUUAUUGGGCGUAAAGAGCUCGUAGGCGGUUUGUCGCGUCUGCCGUGAAAGUCCGGGGCUCAACUCCGGAUCUGCGGUGGGUACGGGCAGACUAGAGUGAUGUAGGGGAGACUGGAAUUCCUGGUGUAGCGGUGAAAUGCGCAGAUAUCAGGAGGAACACCGAUGGCGAAGGCAGGUCUCUGGGCAUUAACUGACGCUGAGGAGCGAAAGCAUGGGGAGCGAACAGG
RNAcentral lists this ribosomal RNA (409 nucleotides) under bacterium. Its description in RNAcentral is "partial 16S ribosomal RNA". It matches the Rfam family "Bacterial small subunit ribosomal RNA", at positions 355 to 776 of the family's 1533-position model. The record is from RNAcentral.